ACGGAAGGUGCAAGCGUUAGUCGGAGUUAUUGGGCGUAAAGGGUGCGUAGGCGGCACAGAAAGUUGAAUGUGAAAUUCCGGGGCUCAACUCCGGAGCGGCAUUCAAAACUCCUGUGCUUGAGGGAUGGCGGAGAAAACGGAAUUCCAUGUGUAGCGGUGAAAUGCGUAGAUAUAUGGAAGAACACCUGUGGCGAAAGCGGUUUUCUAGCCUCAACCUGACGCUAAGGCACGAAAGCAAGGGGAGCAAACAG
This 251-nucleotide ribosomal RNA is filed under the name uncultured prokaryote. Its description in RNAcentral is "partial 16S ribosomal RNA". It matches the Rfam family "Bacterial small subunit ribosomal RNA", at positions 525 to 775 of the family's 1533-position model. The record is from RNAcentral.